RNAcentral lists this ribosomal RNA (483 nucleotides) under uncultured bacterium. RNAcentral's name for it is "partial 16S ribosomal RNA". It matches the Rfam family "Bacterial small subunit ribosomal RNA", at positions 28 to 523 of the family's 1533-position model. The record is from RNAcentral.
GACGAACGCUGGCGGCGUGCUUAACACAUGCAAGUCGAACGGUGAAAGCGGAGCUUGCUCCGCUGGAUCAGUGGCGAACGGGUGAGUAACACGUGGGCAACCUGCCCCUGACUUCGGGAUAACUCCUCGAAAGAGGUGCUAAUACCGGAUACGAAUCCUGCAGGCAUCUGCGGGAUUGGAAAGUUUUUCGGUCAGGGAUGGGCCCGCGGCCUAUCAGCUUGUUGGUGAGGUAGUGGCUCACCAAGGCGACGACGGGUAGCCGGCCUGAGAGGGCGACCGGCAACACUGGGACCGGGACACGGCCCAGACGCCUACGGGAGGCAGCAGUGGGGAAUAUUGCGCAAUGGGCGAAAGCCUGAAGCAGCAACGCCGGGUGAGGGAUGACGGCCUUCGGGUUGUAAACCUCUUUCAGCAGGGAAGAAGCGAAAGUGACGGUACCUGCAGAAGAAGCACCGGCUAACUACAUGCCAGCCGCCGCCGUAA